CGUGUAGGCGGCCAGGUAGGUCCGUUGUGAAAACUCGAGGCUCAACCUCGAGACGUCGGCGGAAACCAUCUGGCUAGAGUCCGGAAGAGGAGAGUGGAAUUCCUGGUGUAGCGGUGAAAUGCGCAGAUAUCAGGAAGAACACCCGUGGCGAAGGCGGCUCUCUGGGACGGUACUGACGCUGAGACGCGAAAGCGUGGGGAGCAAACA
RNAcentral lists this ribosomal RNA (207 nucleotides) under uncultured bacterium. Its description in RNAcentral is "partial 16S ribosomal RNA". It matches the Rfam family "Bacterial small subunit ribosomal RNA", at positions 568 to 774 of the family's 1533-position model. The record is from RNAcentral.